GACGAACGCUGGCGGCGUGCUUAACACAUGCAAGUCGAACGGAAAGGCCCUGCUUUUGUGGGGUGCUCGAGUGGCGAACGGGUGAGUAACACGUGAGUAACCUGCCCUUGACUUUGGGAUAACUUCAGGAAACUGGGGCUAAUACCGGAUAGGAGCUCCUGCUGCAUGGUGGGGGUUGGAAAGUUUCGGCGGGUGGGGAUGGACUCGCGGCUUAUCAGCUUGUUGGUGGGGUAGUGGCUUACCAAGGCUUUGACGGGUAGCCGGCCUGAGAGGGUGACCGGCCACAUUGGGACUGAGAUACGGCCCAGACUCCUACGGGAGGCAGCAGUGGGGAAUAUUGCACAAUGGGCGGAAGCCUGAUGCAGCGACGCCGCGUGCGGGAUGACGGCCUUCGGGUUGUAAACCGCUUUCGCCUGUGACGAAGCGUGAGUGACGGUAAUGGGUAAAGAAGCACCGGCUAACUACGUG
This 468-nucleotide ribosomal RNA is filed under the name uncultured bacterium. Its description in RNAcentral is "partial 16S ribosomal RNA". It matches the Rfam family "Bacterial small subunit ribosomal RNA", at positions 28 to 507 of the family's 1533-position model. The record is from RNAcentral.